RNAcentral lists this small RNA (2768 nucleotides) under Pan troglodytes (chimpanzee). RNAcentral describes it as "processed transcript". The record is from RNAcentral. Lineage: Eukaryota; Metazoa; Chordata; Mammalia; Primates; Hominidae.
GGCCCUGGAGCACAGCACUGUACACCUGGGCACUCAAGACUGCAGCUGCAGGCAGAUUUGUGAGCAGCUUCCUCAUCAAAGCUCCAGAUCUGGGUCCCCUGGUCCUGGGGUUAGGAGGGAAGGGGCAGAUGUCGGCGGGAGGAGGACAGGGAGAGCUGGGAAGCCACGGUGCUGAGGGGGAUGGGUCUACUCAGUGGCCAGCUGUGACCCCAGCCUCCCCUCUGCUUUGCAGGGGACCUAAGUCUCCAUUUACAGAACUCACUUUUUGCCUCUUGUGGGGGAAGUCCCCAGAUGUCAGCCUUCUCGUGGGAAUUAUAAGAAGUAUGAGCCCCAGGGCUCCUUUAGUCUCUCCCCAGCCAGAGUCCACAUAUUUUCCCCCAUGUUUUGUGGGUGAAAAGGCCCUUCAGAACCCUAAAUCCACCCGGUUUAUAUUUGUUGCUGGGCUGCGUCAUUCUAGUCAGAGUCUGGGAGGAUGCCACCAUACGUAGAGGAGGCCAUGAGGGUCUCACCUGUAACAUUCUGUAGAUGUGACUUGUUUAUUCUGUCUACUGUGAGUGCCUGACUCUGAGUAGAAUCAAGGCCGGGGAUGUCAUCUGCUUUGUUUAUGAAAUGAUGCCAAGCCCCAAGAAGAGCGAUGCACAAAUGAGGUGUUUUGAAUGUAUGUGUUGAAUGAGUGAACCCCAACCUUUGGAGAACCCCAGUGAGCCUCUCCAGAUGUCUGAGUGGGCCUGUGGCUCCUUUUUCAGCACCAAGGGACCCCUCUUCUGUCUGUGUCAAGGAGAAAGACCAGCCAGAAGGAAUCUCAGACAUCCUUUACCAGUGCCAUCGCAGACUUGGUUUCUAUGUGUUUUUCCAAACAGUGAGUGAUAUAGGCCAUUGAGGCAGAAUGCUGAGAGCUGCUUCAAGUGAGGGGGAAGAGAAAAGUAACAAACAUGAAUCACAGCACCCCCAGCAGAUUUUCCAGAGUUUUAGGCUCUAGGGACCCCUUUGUUUGCUGUGUCUUAGAUCAUUGAGUCCCUUCAAGAACCCUGUGAGGUUCGUCUUCUCACUACUCCCUGUUCCAGAGGAGCCAACCGAGGCCCCGAGAGGUGCAUCUUCAAGACAGAGCCAGUAGGGGACAGAGGCACCUCUGUGUCUUGGAGGGGGAUGGACACUCACCUUCUAACCAGUAGUUCCAAAAAGUGUGGCACAGUGAUAAAGUCCCAGGAGGGGCCCAAGCAGGUGGCAUAGGAGAGAUGGGUUUAGUUAGAAAGGCUGGAACCAGGGACUCCAACAGCUUUCCCCAGUGCCGGGCUGGAAAGUUAGCAUCCUGCAGAUCUCAUUUUCAUACUAGGGGGACAAGGAGGGACAUGGGAGUCAGUGGUAACACCAUGGACCACCAGAGGAUCGGGAUCUGGAACUCACACCAAGAAGCACCAACCCUUCAGGGACUUGUGCAUGUGGAGAACCUGGGUGCCCAUGGUGAAAAGCGUUCUAGGCUUUCAGAGUAACAUUGCAUGUGAGGAUGGAGAAUGAUAAAACGAUUCCUGCCUUCAAGGCAUCGUCCCGGUGUUUGUCAGCUGUGGGGCAACAGCACCCUCUGUGUCAGCAACCUGCAUGAAGAGCAUCAUCCCUCCAAGUCCUCAAGGCCUGGGGAGGCCUCAUCCCGUCCUCAUUUCAGCAACAGCACACAGGACAAUACGCUCUAGAAGAACUCUUUGACUUAAAGGUAUAUGAUUGUUUUUGUUCCUUUAACAUGAACGUGAGUCUGGAGAAACAGCUACGGCCAUCCCAGCCCUGGCCAAGGGGAAAAUGCCGGAAGACUCCAGGGUGGGAGGAAGCGCGUCCCAAGGCCCAGGAUCUGCGAGGCGACUCGGGGAAAACGCAGAAAAUAAAGCACGCGAAGAAGUUAACUCGGUGCCAUUGGGCAGAGGGUGAGAGCCCAGCAAACCAGAGAGAUCAGCUUGCCCACAUCAGUGGCGAGGAGUGCGGAGAGUGGGUGAGGCUGGGGCAGGAAGCAGGCCAGCCUGCCAGAGCCCAGGAACAGGUGAAGGGACCUGCUGAAGCUCACACCCGUGGACCACCCAGACUGCCUGCCGCUACAGGAUGCCCUCCGCAUCUCCCAGGACUUCUUUCUGGCAUCAGUGUGGACAUUGACCCCGCUGGACUGCAGUCACAGUGGACUCCCAAGGGCAGGAUCCACCUCUGAUGUUCAGUGAAGACUACCAGAAAAGUCUGCUAGAGCAGUACCAUCUGGGUCUGGAUCAAAAACGCAGAAAAUACGUGGUUGGAGAGCUCAUCUGGAAUUUUGCCGAUUUCAUGACUAACCAGUGUCAGCCCAAGACUACCCCGUCGGUCAUUCUGUUCCUGCCGUCCUGUGAGGAGCCCCAAGCCAACAAGGCCACACUGGUGUGUCUCAUGAAUAACUUUAUCCGGGAAUCUUCAUGGUGACCUGGAAGGCAGAUGGUACCCCCAUCACCCAGAGCGUGGAGAAGACCACGCCCUCCAAACAGAGCAACAGCAAGUACGUGGCCAGCAGCUACCUGAGCCUGACGCCCGAGCAGUGGAGGUCCCGCAGAAGCUACAGCUGCCAGGUUAUGCAUGAAGGGAGCACCGUGGAGAAGUCAGUGGCCCCUGCAGAAUGUUCAUAGGUUCCCAGCCCCCACCCCACCCACAGGGGCCUGGAGCUGCAGGAUCCCAGGGGAGGGGUCUCUCUCUGCAUCCCAAGCCAUUCAGCCCUUCUCCCUGUACCUAGUAAACCCUCAAUAAAUAUCUUUGUCAGCCAGAAA